Molecule: long non-coding RNA, 388 nt
Filed under: Junco hyemalis (dark-eyed junco)
Lineage: Eukaryota; Metazoa; Chordata; Aves; Passeriformes; Passerellidae
Description: lncRNA (ENSJHYG00000003337.1)
Source: RNAcentral
CUUGGAAGCCUCUGCCACCACUCAGAAUGUGACUGCUGUGAGGAGUUGUCAGCUGAGGAAUAAAUGUGCUUUAUUAAUGAUGGGGAGGAAGUUGCACAAGAGGCCCCAGGCAAGGCUGAAGGGAAGGACUUGGAGCCACGACCCCAAAAUCAACAGCUCUUUCCACAUCCAGUGUUGGUGGUGGAUGCUGCAACCAACAAUCAAACUGUUAACCCACAGUUUUGAGGUUGGAAUGAGUCAAAUCAGGCCCAGUUUAUCAGGUAAGAUAAUUCCAUUUUUGUACACUAUCAAUUCUCACAUUUCCUGUUUGAUAACUCAUGAAACCAUUUUUAUUUCAGCCCUGGGAAAGGCACUGCUGGUGUUGAGUUUGAAAAAUCAGAGAUGUUAA